UGGGGAAUUUUGGACAAUGGGCGAAAGCCUGAUCCAGCAAUGCCGCGUGUGUGAAGAAGGCCUUCGGGUUGUAAAGCACUUUUGUCCGGAAAGAAAUCCUUGGCUCUAAUACAGUCGGGGGAUGACGGUACCGGAAGAAUAAGCACCGGCUAACUACGUGCCAGCAGCCGCGGUAAUACGUAGGGUGCAAGCGUUAAUCGGAAUUACUGGGCGUAAAGCGUGCGCAGGCGGUUUGCUAAGACCGAUGUGAAAUCCCCGGGCUCAACCUGGGAACUGCAUUGGUGACUGGCAGGCUAGAGUAUGGCAGAGGGGGGUAGAAUUCCACGUGUAGCAGUGAAAAUGCGUAGAGAUGUGGAGGAAUACCGAUGGCGAAAGGCAGCCCCCUGGGCCAAAUACUGACGCUCAUGCACGAAAGCGUGGGGGAGCAAACAGGAUUAGAUACCCUGGUAGUCCACGCCCUAAAACGAUGUCAACUAGUUGUUGGGGAUUCAUUUCCUUA
This 499-nucleotide ribosomal RNA is filed under the name uncultured bacterium. RNAcentral describes it as "partial 16S ribosomal RNA". It matches the Rfam family "Bacterial small subunit ribosomal RNA", at positions 355 to 842 of the family's 1533-position model. The record is from RNAcentral.